This is a long non-coding RNA of Callithrix jacchus (white-tufted-ear marmoset), 5537 nucleotides long. RefSeq lists it as uncharacterized. NCBI's taxonomy places the organism in Eukaryota, Metazoa, Chordata, Mammalia, Primates, Cebidae. The record is from RefSeq and is a predicted model, not a curated record.
UUAGUCCAAGGUCUUUUAGUUACUAGGAAUAGAUGUGAGAAGAAGCAAAGCGUUCUCUCCUUUUCCUGGACUUAGAGUUGCUGCGGGGCCCCCUGUAAUAGGCUGAGUUAGCUUUCGGUGCGCUGUCAUUGCCCCUUCUGCACUUUUCUCCUUCCAGAGUCCCCUUCUCCAUGCACCUACUGUUCCCCUGUUCAUCCGCGCCCCUAGGGGAACUCCGAGCGCCAGGGAUGUUUUACCCGGUGUACUUCCGGCCUGGCGUACUUAAAGCUCUAUGUACGUACUUCCGGCCGGGGCAGUGGCUCAUGCCCGUAAUCCUAGCACUUUGGGAGGCAGAGGGUGGUAGAUUGCCUGAGCUCAGGAGUUUGAGACCAGCCUGGGCAACAAAGUGAAACCCUGCUCCUACUAAAAUACAAAAAAUUAGCCAGGUGUGGCAGCGUGUGCCUGUAAUCCCAGCACUCUGGAGGCUGAAGCAGGAGAAUCGCUUGAACCCGCGAGGCCAAAGAGCCGAGAUUGCGCCACUGCACUCCAGCCUGGUGACAGAGCGAGACUUUCUCUCCAAAAACAAAACAAAACAAACAACUCUACAUACUUCCAAAUUACUCACCUUUAUGGCCACCCCAUCAGAAUUUUUAGUCUCUCAGAGCAGCUCUUCUCAGCUAGGUUGCAAGAGAGUAACUAUCUGAUGACAUUUUUACUAGAGUGUGACAGACCAUUCACCUGUCAGAAGUCUCAGAAUCUUAAGAGGAUACUUCUUAAUCCAAGUUAAUGGUUGUGAAUCUGUUCUCCACAUGGACUGUGAGGUCCUUGAAGGCAGUGACCGCAGUGCCUGGGAUGGAGCCUUGGUAAGUGGAGUGAAGACAGACAGGUCUGGGAAUGAAGCCCAGCUCUGCCCUUACCAGCUUCCGGUAUGGCAAAAGGGGGAACUAUUUCUCCUGGAACGGAGUGGACAAAUGUGCAGCAGGUGAGCAGAAUCAUUUUGCUUUCCAGCUGUUGCACAAGCUGUAUCAUGCUGACAGUGGCCUCCACCUGUCUAACUUCCUGCUUCCACCAAUUCAGAACCAAGAUAUUUUUAUACUCAUAACAUGGUAUAAACCAAGUGCUGAUGGAAGUUCUUUGAUGCUGAAUUUGGAAUCAAAUACAUUCUACUUUCUGAAAAUCCAUAUACUAGGUGGCUACUUCGAUAGCAACAGACACAAGAUGUAAAAUGCAGCAAUGGUCAAGGACUUUCUCAGGGGAGGAAUCAGUCCUCUCAUUUUGAUUGAGGAACCUUGGAUACAGGGAGGAUGAGGGACUAACUCAAAGUCAUCUGGCAACUUAGAGGUGAAGCCAGAGCUCCUCAAAUCUCCUAGCUCUGAAUCCGUCCUCUUUUUAUUGAGCCAGUCAUGACGUAACCCCCCAAAUGAGUGCAGCUUUUAAUCUCCCACAUCAAGGGGCCUGCUGGCUGGCUACUCAUGGAUGCACCUCACGGUGGUUUCUGGGUGGUUGAUGCUCGACACCCUCUAACUUCAUUUCUUUUUUCCUUUGCAAAAUGGCUAUUGCCCAGAGGCAGCAUCUCUUUUCUAAAAAGUGAACAUGCCAGAAGGGUUUUUGGAAACUGCCUUGCUAUCUGUCAGGAGCCAGAUGAUUCACAGGGAUGAACCAAUGCUCAUAACAAGGGUACCUGGUUGGAUUACCAAUUAGCCACCUCCACCUCGGCAGGGUGGUUGGAAAGAAGAGAAAGGCAGUGUUUAGUUUGGGCAAAUAUCAAGAGGACUUAUCAUUCUCAUCAAGGCAUCAGCGCGGCACAUCAGACCUCUUCCAGGCCAUUCCAUUGGAACUUCUCUCUCCAAAUGCUCCAGCAAGAGUAAACUUGUUAUGCAAACAUUGGAUCAUUGUAUCUGAGUGACAGAAGCACCUCUGUGUCGGUGAAAGGGGAAAAACUGGCUGACUCACGUCUGUUUUUAAUGAUAUCUCUGCUGCUGGGAAAAUUUGGAAGCUGCAGGUAACAUCUUCUCCUUUGGGGAAAAAAACCAAAAAAACAAAAAACGAAAAAAAAACCAAGGCUACCCUGGAAUGUGUUAGCUUACCUUUACCGGAUGGAAACACCUUGGUCUGGGUAGGCCCUGGGAGGGAUAUGCAGACUUUUUCUCCAUCUGGACCCAGCAAGAAGUGUCCUAGUGUGGGGUUGCUGGAAUCUUCUUGAAAAUAAGCACAAGCAUAGGCGCCGUCAGCAGCGUGCUGGUGAGGGAGACAAACUGAACCUAGGCUGUUCCCCUAGUCCCCUGCAGGCACACACCCAUAGAUGCCUGUGUGCUUGGGUGCCCACCAGAGUAUAGGGUGAGCCCUACUCCUGGGACUCAGCAGAAGUGGGGCUAUUGUUCAGGCCCUGGCUUCCAAGGGUCAAGGUGGGGUGAACAGGGAGGGGCUGCCACUUGCCUACAUCAUGCCUUUGGGAGAGCCCGGCUAUCUCAGGGGCUGGGCUCAGUGAGGGGGGCACUCCGUGUGAAGGAAAAGGAACCCCUUUCUCCAGCUGUAUACAGUCCAGCCCCUGGGCACAGGGCUUCCUGCUUCCUGCCUCUACUGUCCUGUUCAGUACUCAGCAUACAUGGCCAUAUCCUCUAGAUGAAAUACUGGGAUGGCUUGGUGAUGCCAGAGGCUCAGGUCAAGGAGGAGGAUACUGUGUCUCCCUAGUUACUUAGAAAGAUUGAAGGUAUUUUUAUAACCUGACUAUAAAAGUAAAAAGUCAUGGCCAGGCGCAGUGGCUCAUGCCUGUAAUCCCAGCACUUUGGGAGGCCGAGAUGGGCAAAUCAUCUGAGGUCAGGAGUUCGAGACCAGCCUGACCAACAUGGAGAAAUCCUGUCUCUACUAAAAAUACCAAAAAAAUUAGUCCAGCUACUUCGAGGCUGAGGCAGGAGAAUUGCUUGAACCCAGGAGGCAGAGGUUGUGGUGAGCCAAGAUCGCACCAUUACAGUCCAGCCUGGGCAACAAGAGUGAAACUCUGUCUCAAAAAAAAACACCAAGUAAUUUUUCCCCAACUCUAAUUCCAAUUCUCAACCCAGAACAUUCCUGGUACUAGAUUGUGGGGGUUCCCCCAUGCCAAGCAAUUCUCCUGCAGAUGCCAACUGGUUGUCCUAUAAUUUAAUUCAGUUCUGACACUCUACCUGGAGAUGGUGUCAGAUUCCACAGGGCAGGGCUCAGUCCACAAGACUGCCCCCGACUUCAGGUGCCAAUUGCAAGUCCCAGAUUGUGACCUGGACUUCUGACCAACCAGCUAUAAAUUGGGCCUCCCACAAUCAUCCCUUUCCUUGGGUUCAACAAUUUGGUAGAACAGCUCACAGAAUAAGGGAAACACUUAACUUACAUUUUCUGGCUUAUUUAUUUAUUUAUUUUUAAAGAGACAGGGUUUCACCUUGUUGGCCAGGCUAGUCUCGAACUCCUGGCCUCAAGUGAUCUACCUGCCUCGGCCUCCCAAAGUGCUGGGAUUACAGGCGUGAGCCACCAUGCCUGGCCUUUUCUGGCUUAUUUUUAAAGGACAUUAGAAAGGAUAUAGUGAACAGCCAGAUGAAGAGAUGGGCGAGGCGUGGGGAGGAUGUGCAGGGAUUCGUGCCCUCCCUGGGCCUGCUGCCCUCGAAGCACCUAGACGUGCUCAGCAGAAGCUUAUCAACUCAGGUUCAACAGCUAAUAAAGAGCUUGAUCUCCAGUGCCCCCUCCCCUUUCCUGGAGGUUGUGGCUAGAAGCUCCAGUCUUCUAAUCCUCUUAUCACUUGGUCCUUCUGGUCACUGGCCCCAUCAGAAGGCUACCUACAGGUCUUACCCUAUGUCACCUCAUUAGCAUAAACUCAAGUGUUUUCAAAGGGGCUUAUGGAUAACAAAAGAUACUACUAUCAUUCAUAAAAUUCAAGUUUUAGCUGAGGAAUAGAAACCAGGGGCAAAGUCCACAUUUAUUCAUAUUAUACUGCAUUUACCUUCCCCAUCUCCAAGACUAAGAGGCCAGGAGUCCAGCUACUUAGACUAGCAGACCACCAGCUAGAGUGGAUGCUAAGGAGUGCACACAUACACACGCACACUUACAAACAUACACACUGACAUAUUCACACAGGGCACACACAUAUAUGUACACUCUCACAGGACAAGUAUGCACACACAGCUGCACACAUGAACAAUGACAUACAUGAAUAUGACACAUUCAUAGGACUGACUAUAUAGACAUGCACGUGCAUAUGCCGAUAGGCAUAUAUGGAGGUGCACUGUGACUCACAGUUGUGCAUGCAUGCACACAAGCAUGCACAUGUACUCACAUGGGCAUAUAAGCACAUCCCACACACAUUCACUUACACACAUGCACACACCCAACACACACACUUGAGGCUUCAGGCUGCUCUGUUGUCAGUCCUGGUCCUGCCUUGCGUUCGGUUUUCACCAGAUUCUCCCUUUAUAAGGAUGUCUAAAGUAGGUGUGAGUAUCCAUUUGCUGUGAUUUGUCUCAGGCCAGGCAACUUCCUAGGAAGGCCCCAGGUGGGGACAUAACAGUACACCAAAUUUGGUUCAUUUGCAUCAAAAGGGCAUUGCUGCCACACAAGUAUAAAGGGGAGGGGAUUGUGAAAGAGAAGUUCCAACCCUGGAAUGAUUUCUAGGUGAAAACAAUGUCUCUAGGGAUAGAGAAUGUUGGGGGGAAGGAAGGGUUUUAAUUUUGGCUAUCUCAGCUUGAAACAGGAGCUGCAAACACAGAAUGGAACUAUUAAUCUGCGAAUUUAAUUUAUGCUUAAAGAAUUCAACUAUAUAUGCUUUGGGGAGAGAAUGAGAUGGGGGUGUGCUGGGCGGGAGGGCGGAGAGAGAGAGCAAGCAAGACUGAUUAAAAUACUGAGGCAUUCUGUCCCUGAGUGAUCAUGAAAUGAAAGAUGUGAAAUCUGUUGCCUUUGUGAUGGUGCUGUGUUCCCAUGUGCCUUUCAAAGUGUGAGUUUCUCGCAGCCCUGAGUGUGAUUCUGCUGUUAACAGAGAUACCUCUUUAUACAAUCUGUCCCCAAACACAUGUCAUCUUCAUCUGGUGCUCAAACUGAGAAAGCAGCCCACGCCUUCAAUGAAGGAGAAACAGCUGCCUGGACCACAUGUUCCUGAAAAUGGUCUCAGUCUCCAGUGUGGCAUCUUCCCAGGGAUUUUCAGAGAGCCAAGAACAUCAGAGGUGGGAUGAUGAUGCUUGUGGCUACGAGACAGGAUUUCAAGGAUCCUGAUGAAACGUCUGCUGGCCUGAAUCUGUCUGAAUGCUGAAAAGGACUUUGUGUUACUCUAACUAAAAGGAAAACACAAAAUGAUGAUAAUAUAGCCCUUUAUGCUUUUCAGAACCCUUUCACAUACAUGAUUUUAUUUAAGCUUUGUGACAAUGGUGUGCAGCAGAUAGGGCUAAGAGCACAGUCAAUCUCAUUUUAGAGAUGAAGAAAUGGAGGUCUGAGAGUUUCAUGCCUUCCCCAAGGUCCAAGAAGUUAUUCCCAUGGCUGCAACUGGGUUUGUAGACAUGCUGCCAGCACCUUCCCCAAACCCAAGGGAGUGCUCUACCUACCUGUUG